AGCGGGAAGAGCUCAAAUUUGUAAUCUGGCACUUUCAGUGUCCGAGUUGUAAUCUCGAGAAGUGUUUUCCGCGCCGGACCGCAUACAAGUCUGUUGGAAUACAGCGUCAUAGUGGUGAGAACCCCGUAACUGAUGCGGAUGCCCGGUGCUUUGUGAUACACUUUCGAAGAGUCGAGUUGUUUGGGAAUGCAGCUCAAAUUGGGUGGUAAAUUCCAUCUAAAGCUAAAUAUUGGCGAGAGACCGAUAGCGAACAAGUACCGUGAGGGAAAGAUGAAAAGCACUUUGGAAAGAGAGUUAACAGUACGUGAAAUUGUUGGAAGGGAAACGCUUGAAGUCAGACUUGCUAUUUGGAGUUCAACCCAUGGUGUAUUCUUCAAUUUGCAGGCCAGCAUCAGUUUCUGGGGGUGGAAAAUCGUAGUUUGAAUGUAGCAGUUUCGGCUGUGUUAUAGCUUUCUACUGGAUUCAUCUUCGGGGACUGAGGAACGCAGUGCGCUUUUAGCAAGGCUUUCGAGCUUUACGCACUUAGGAUGCUGGUGGAAUGGCUUUAAACGACCCGUCUUGAAACACGGGACCA
RNAcentral lists this ribosomal RNA (574 nucleotides) under Sampaiozyma vanillica. RNAcentral's name for it is "partial large subunit ribosomal RNA". It matches the Rfam family "Eukaryotic large subunit ribosomal RNA", at positions 97 to 664 of the family's 3401-position model. The record is from RNAcentral. Lineage: Eukaryota; Fungi; Basidiomycota; Microbotryomycetes; Chrysozymaceae.